GGGCGGGUGGUGGAAUGGUAUACACGCAGGACUUAAAAUCCUGUGGCCGCAAGGCCGUGAGGGUUCAAGUCCCUCCCCGCCCA
Molecule: transfer RNA, 83 nt
Filed under: Candidatus Omnitrophota bacterium
Lineage: Bacteria; Pseudomonadati; Candidatus Omnitrophota
Description: Candidatus Omnitrophica bacterium (groundwater metagenome) tRNA-Leu
Rfam family: tRNA
About the family: Transfer RNA (tRNA) molecules are approximately 80 nucleotides in length. Their secondary structure includes four short double-helical elements and three loops (D, anti-codon, and T loops).
Source: RNAcentral